AGAGUUUGAUCCUGGCUCAGAAUGAACGCUCGCGGCGUGCCUAAGACAUGCAAGUCAUACGGGAAAGUAGCAAUAUGAGUACAGUGGCGCACGGGUGAGUAAUACUUGGAUAAUGCGCCUCUUUGCUGGGGAUAACCAGGCGAAAGCUUGGCUAAUACCGAAUAGUUCGACAGGGCUGAGGCUUUUGUCGAUAAAGCCGUAAGGCGCGAAGAGAGUAGUCCAAGUCCCAUUAGCUAGUUGGUAGGGUAAAAGCCUACCAAGGCUACGAUGGGUAGCUGGUCUGAGAGGACGAUCAGCCACAUUGGAACUGGAACACGGUCCAGACUCCCACGGGAGGCAGCAGUUAGGAAUUUUGGGCAAUGGGGGCAACCCUGACCCAGCAACGCCGCGUGAAGGAUGAAGGCUUUCGGGUUGUAAACUUCUUUUAGCAGGAAAGAACACAAUGACGGUACCUGCAGAAAAAGCACCGGCUAACUCUGUGCCAGCAGCCGCGGUAAUACAGAGGGUGCAAGCGUUAUUCGGAUUUACUGGGCAUAAAGAGCGCGUAGGCUGUUUGCUAAGUCUGAUGUGAAAUCCCUGGACUCAAUUCAGGAACUGCAUCGGAUACUGGCAGACUCGAGUACAGGAGAGGAAAGCGGAAUUCCAGGUGUAGAGGUGAAAUUCGUAGAUAUCUGGAGGAACAACAGUGGCGAAGGCGGCUUUCUGGACUGAAACUGACGCUGAGGCGCGAAAGCGUGGGGAGCAAGCAGGAUUAGAUACCCUGGUAGUCCACGCCGUAAACGAUGGAUGCUAGAUGUCGG
RNAcentral lists this ribosomal RNA (800 nucleotides) under uncultured bacterium. RNAcentral describes it as "bacterial SSU rRNA". It matches the Rfam family "Bacterial small subunit ribosomal RNA", at positions 8 to 826 of the family's 1533-position model. The record is from RNAcentral.